This 225-nucleotide ribosomal RNA is filed under the name uncultured bacterium. Its description in RNAcentral is "partial 16S ribosomal RNA". It matches the Rfam family "Bacterial small subunit ribosomal RNA", at positions 111 to 334 of the family's 1533-position model. The record is from RNAcentral.
UAACACGUGACUAACCUGCCUUACAGUGGGGGAUAACUUCGGGAAACCGAAGCUAAUACCGCAUAACAUCCUGGGGCUGCAAUGCCUUUGGAUCAAAGGAGCAAUUCGCUGAAAGAGGGGGCCGCGGUAGAUUAGCUAGUUGGUGAGGUAAUGGCUCACCAAGGCUAUGAUCUAUAGCCGGCCUGAGAGGGCGCACGGCCACACUGGAACUGAAACACGGUCCAG